Molecule: ribosomal RNA, 261 nt
Filed under: uncultured bacterium
Lineage: Bacteria
Description: partial small subunit ribosomal RNA
Rfam family: Bacterial small subunit ribosomal RNA
Source: RNAcentral
AGGACGAACGCUGGCGGCGUGCUUAACACAUGCAAGUCGAACGGUGAAGCCUUUCGGGGUGGAUCAGUGGCGAACGGGUGAGUAACACGUGAGUAAUCUGCCCUUGACUCUGGGAUAACUUCGGGAAACCGUGGCUAAUACCGGAUAUGACGCAUGGUCGCAUGGUCUGUGUGUGGAAAGAUUUAUUGGUCAGGGAUGAGCUCGCGGCCUAUCAGCUUGUUGGUGGGGUAAUGGCCUACCAAGGCGACGACGGGUAGCCGG